Molecule: RNase P RNA, 328 nt
Filed under: Candidatus Faecalicoccus intestinipullorum
Lineage: Bacteria; Bacillati; Bacillota; Erysipelotrichia; Erysipelotrichales; Erysipelotrichaceae
Description: RNase P RNA component class B
Rfam family: Bacterial RNase P class B
About the family: Ribonuclease P (RNase P) is a ubiquitous endoribonuclease, found in archaea, bacteria and eukarya as well as chloroplasts and mitochondria. Its best characterised activity is the generation of mature 5'-ends of tRNAs by cleaving the 5'-leader elements of precursor-tRNAs.
Source: RNAcentral
CGAUUUCGACAGUCGCUGGCGAAAGUUAGAGGAAAGUCCAUGCUCGCACAGUCUGUGAUGACUGUAGUGUUUGUGCUGGAUGAAGUCAUAAAUCCAGGCAGGUCAUUGACUUGACGGCUGCUUGACUUCCUAAGGGAAACUAGGGAAGGAAGGCUUUAAAAGUGCCACAGAGACGAGCCAUUCUGGAAACAGAAUGGGUGGAACGGGUAAACCCCACAAGCGAGAAACCCAAAUUUGGUAGGGGAAUCGGCCGGAAUGAAUCAGAAAGGAAGGCCGGAUAGGAAACUAUAGAUAAAUGACUGUCUAAUACAGAACAUGGCUUAUGAAA